GGACCAAUCAGCAUCCUGGGGGCAGGUCCUCUGCGGGUGGAAAAGUGGGAGUGACUUAGGAGGGAAAUCACCAGAAACCCCGCAGAGGUCCCAGCGUGGGAAAACGCCCUCUGCGCUAGGAGAGAGCAGCCACGAUGCCUACCUCCGCGCCCCACGGGACCCCUUUCCUUCUCCUAGCACCUCUACUGAUGGUGUCUGCUGUGCUGGCGGUGCCCCUGGACCGCGCGGCGCCCCAUCAGGAGGACAGCCAGGCCACUGAGAGCCCGACACAGCAGACAGACAGACCCCUGACACAGAACACAGACCCCUGACGCCGGAACCACAAUUGCUGACCAGAUGUCUUGAGCCAAUCAUAAAAUGAUUCCUGUACUAGUAAGGGUCUAUAUUCAAUCACUUCAAAGUACACUUAACCACAGCUGGAAUUCCCCUAAGCAGGCUUAAAAGGAACCUGUGAGCUUCUCUCUGGGUGGCCAUUUUGCCACUUUGUCAGAGGGUUUAACCACAGCAUACUGGAAUUUUUAUUCUCAAGAAAUUAAAUGCUCUUGUUGAUUGCGUACGUGUCUGGUGGUCUUUUGUGGGACUUCUCAUGGACCCUAACAUUGAUCAUCUCAUGCCUAGACAUGAUUAAGUGCACAUAUGACCAAAAUUAUUCACACCUGGGAAGAAGGCAGAUGUUUUUGUGUUCUGAUCAAAACAACAAACAAACAAACAAACAAAAAACCCACCCAUGCUGUGCCCCUAGCAAGCACACCUGUACAGGCUGGUCCCAGUAGAGAACUUGGGCUUUAGAUAAAGUCUCCUGCUGCAUGCUGUCUUUUGUUCUCUCUUCACAGGGUUUCUCUGUGUAGUUUUGCACUUUUCCUGGAUCUCGCUCUGUAGACCAGGCUGGCCUCGAACUCACAGAGAUCCGCCUGGCUCUGCCUCCCGAGUACUGGGAUUAAAGGUGUGAGCCACGACCGCCCGGCAUCUCUCUUCACUUCUUGAAGCAGGGAACUGAGAACAAAGGCCACAACUGUAGCAGGGCUAUGGUGGCGCAUGCCUUUAAUCCCAGUCAGUACUCGGGAGGCAGAAUCAAGGAGAUCUCUGUGAGUUCAAGGCCAGCCUGGUCUAUGGAGCAAGUUCCAGCACAGCCAGGGCUACACAGAGAAACCCUGUCUUGAAAAAACAAACCAUUCACAGAAACUUCUGUGAAUGUUCUAAACAUGCAAUCCAUCGGUAACAGGGGUGAGUGGGAGGGGCUGAGAUGGGAGGUUGGCCAAGGCAUUACAGAAACAUUCGUAUGCUCUACCCGACACUAAGUGUGCUCUGACCUUGGUCCCUACAUGCAUUGCAUUUAGGUUUGUUUCCCACAUAGACAUAAAGUGGAGAAUCCAGCUGAGCAUGGUGGCACACGCCUUUAAUCCCAGCACUCAGAAGACAGAGGCAGAUGGAUCUCUAGGAGUUCAAGGCCAGCCUGGUCUAUAUAGUGAGUUCUAGAACAGCCCCCCCCACCAAAAAAAUAAAUAGGGAAUUCUAACUGUUCUGACGGGAAUAAAGAAUCUAAUCAGACCUUGUGUCUCUCAAUCUAGCAGAGGACUGAAACAUUACACCCUGAGAAAUGAGCAUUUCCUCAGGAAUCUCAGGCUGGAAGAAUGAAAAAGCCCCAGGCAGAGGGAAGCCUUGUCUCCAGGAAGAGACUCCAUACAGCCCUAAUGCCUUCUCAGUUCAUCUCACAGAAUGAGCCGGAAGCACAGGCAGGGAUGUGUCAGCAGUGGCCUGGGCCACACCUUGACACAGACUGCUUGAAUGUGUGCCCCUCUGGCCUCUACUCAAGUUUUAAUUUCACUUUAGGAUCCCCAAACAGACUUGGGGUUCGCUGGGUCUUUUGUCCUUCUCCACAAUGUGGCCACAUUGAAUAAAGCCCCUUUUUCUGCUUUCCAUUAAUAAAGAGAAAAACAAUAAAACACUGUCAGGAGGGGGACUGAAGGACAGGAUCAUAACCUGCUGUGGGGUAUCCCCCAGAGAAGACUGACUGGACAUGGGUGUAAGCCAAGGGAAAGUCUUUAUUUCCUGGUCAGCGACUACACUGGGUGUUCAGGAUUCCACUGUAGCCCUGAGCCUUUCUCAGGAUGAGCUUUUAAGCACAAAAACCAUGUUAUGGGUUGACAUACUUCAGUUAACAAGAACGGUUAGCCAGAAGCAGAAUUGCAGAAGCCCAAAGGCAAGAUUAGCACAUUUAGAGACUUUCCCAUGUCUAUGGGCUUUGGAGGAUCAGGCCUUUGUUUUCAUUUUGUGAAGCAUGUGGUGUUGUCUACACGCUGAACUUCAUGGCCUGAGCGGCACUUCUGUCCUGGAGUCCCGCUGAGGUCUGGGGACCCUGACAGGACCCAGUGGGGAAGGGUUAGGGGAGGGAGCGCCCAGGAGCUGCAGGGAGAUUGCUGGAAUCUGCAUACAACCCUUUUGUUUGUUUUUCUUUUGAGACAGUCUCACACUGUAGCCCUAGCUGGAUUUGGAUUCUCAGCUUCCUGUAUGCUGUGGAAUUACCUGACUUUGUUGGACCCCAAAGUGUAGGGUCUCAAAUGGGCGCCCCAAGAACCCAGACUCCAGUCCAGUUGAUGCAACAGCAUGAGGAUUUAUUAAGCUUCUAUAUAGAAGGGCAAACUCUGCUCCUAAGAGCAAGAGCUGCAUCUUACUGCAGCCCCAUAAGGGCUUUUAAAGGAAAAACCCAUAAAACCCAUAAGAUUACAAUUCCCAUUGGAUUUCAUGGCCUGAUCACAGGGUGAUCACAGAGGGGGUACAGUUACGUAAACCUCAAGGCGGGUAUCAGGGCGGGAGUGGAGUUUACACAAAUGUCACAGUGGUCCUUCCUGGAACACCUGCAAAUAUCCCAGUCACAGUUGAGCACAUCUCUUAACAGAAAUCUUUUUACAUUGUUACAUUGUUACAGGGGUGAUUGAGUAGUGGCUAAGUCAGGUUGCCCUGGGAACUAGAUUUUUAGUUUCUCAUUUCCUGGUGCUUGAAGUUUCUCUCUUCCUGAGGCUUGGGGGUGUAAGCCUGAAGGGCUAGGGUCUUUCAACUUCAGUUUGAUUACUUAACAGAAUGCUGAGAAAAACAGAUCUUAGAGGACGGCAGAGACCAAGGCUGGGUGGUGGGGAGAAGCUUACAAGUGGUUCCUGGGGUCCCCGGCAGACCUGCUUUGUGACUUCCUUCAGGAGAAAGCCUCACUCCCCCAAGGGCCAGAGCCCUUGUUGAGAAAGGCCUGCCUGUUCUCAUAACCCCUCUCCCACCUUCCUGCAAGAAGCAGAUCUG
Molecule: long non-coding RNA, 3288 nt
Organism: Peromyscus californicus insignis
Lineage: Eukaryota; Metazoa; Chordata; Mammalia; Rodentia; Cricetidae
Exons: 3
Source: RefSeq, a predicted model, not a curated record